UGCCUACGGGGCGCAGCAGUGGGGAAUAUUGCGCAAUGGGCGAAAGCCUGACGCAGCGACGCCGCGUGAGGGAUGAAGGUUUUCGGAUCGUAAACCUCUGUCAGAAGGGAAGAAAGUGCGUGGUGCUAAUCAGCCGCGUAUUGACGGUACCUUCAAAGGAAGCACCGGCUAACUCCGUGCCAGCAGCCGCGGUAAUACGGAGGGUGCGAGCGUUAAUCGGAAUUACUGGGCGUGAAGCGCUCGUAGGCGGUAUGUCAAGUCAAGGGUGAAAUCCCCGCGCUCAACGUGGGAACUGCCUUUGAAAC
This 305-nucleotide ribosomal RNA is filed under the name uncultured bacterium. RNAcentral's name for it is "bacterial SSU rRNA". It matches the Rfam family "Bacterial small subunit ribosomal RNA", at positions 335 to 633 of the family's 1533-position model. The record is from RNAcentral.